UACGUAGGGACCGAGCGUUGUCCGGAAUCAUUGGGCGUAAAGAGCGUGUAGGCGGCCACUUAAGUCCUGCGUGAAAUCUUGCGGCUCAACCGCAAGCGGUCGUGGGAAACUGGGUGGCUAGAGUGCGGGAGAGGAGAGUGGAAUUCCUGGUGUAGCGGUGGAAUGCGCAGAUAUCAGGAGGAACACCGGUGGCGAAGGCGGUUCUCUGGGAAUGUCCUGACGCUGAGGAGCGAAAGUGUGGGGAGCGAACAGG
RNAcentral lists this ribosomal RNA (253 nucleotides) under uncultured bacterium. Its description in RNAcentral is "partial 16S ribosomal RNA". It matches the Rfam family "Bacterial small subunit ribosomal RNA", at positions 524 to 776 of the family's 1533-position model. The record is from RNAcentral.